Molecule: ribosomal RNA, 950 nt
Filed under: uncultured bacterium
Lineage: Bacteria
Description: bacterial SSU rRNA
Rfam family: Bacterial small subunit ribosomal RNA
Source: RNAcentral
AGAGUUUGAUCCUGGCUCAGAGCGAACGCUGGCGGCAGGCCUAACACAUGCAAGUCGAGCGCCGUAGCAAUACGGAGCGGCAGACGGGAGAGUAACACGUGGGAACGUGCCCUUCAGUUCGGAACAACUCAGGGAAACUUGGGCUAAUACCGAAUACGUCCGUAAGGAGAAAGAUUUAUCGCUGAAGGAUCGGCCCGCGUCUGAUUAGCUAGUUGGUGGGGUAAUGGCCCACCAAGGCGACGAUCAGUAGCUGGUCUGAGAGGAUGAUCAGCCUCACUGGGACUGAGACACGGCCCAGACUCCUACGGGAGGCAGCAGUGGGGAAUAUUGGACAAUGGGCGCAAGCCUGAUCCAGCCAUGCCGCGUGGGUGAUGAAGGCCCUAGGGUUGUAAAGCCCUUUCGGCGGGGAAGAUAAUGACGGUACCCGCAGAAGAAGCCCCGGCUAACUUCGUGCCAGCAGCCGCGGUAAUACGAAGGGGGCUAGCGUUGCUCGGAAUCACUGGGCGUAAAGCGCACGUAGGCGGCUUUUUAAGUCAGGGGUGAAAUCCUGGAGCUCAACUCCAGAACUGCCCUUGAUACUGAGAGGCUUGAGUCCGGGAGAGGUGAGUGGAACUGCGAGUGUAGAGGUGAAAUUCGUAGAUAUUCGCAAGAACACCAGUGGCGAAGGCGGCUCACUGGCCCGGUACUGACGCUGAGGUACGAAAGCGUGGGGAGCAAACAGGAUUAGAUACCCUGGUAGUCCACGCCGUAAACGAUGGAUGCUAGCCGUUGUCGGGUUUACCCGUCAGUGGCGCAGCUAACGCAUUAAGCAUCCCGCCUGGGGAGUACGGUCGCAAGAUUAAAACUCAAAGGAAUUGACGGGGCCCGCACAAGCGGUGGAGCAUGUGGUUCAAUUCGAAGCAACGCGAAGAACCUUACCAGCCUUUGACAUCCCGGUCGCGGGCACCAGA